CGAUGAAACAGAGAUCUUCAGCA
This 23-nucleotide non-coding RNA is filed under the name Drosophila melanogaster (fruit fly). The record is from RNAcentral. Lineage: Eukaryota; Metazoa; Arthropoda; Insecta; Diptera; Drosophilidae.